AUGGGCAGACAAUACACUGGCUUUCCCACAAGCACAUUGCUCCUCCACCAUGCCCUUCCGUUAAUCUCCCUAAGCCCUAGUGGCGUUGCCAGCACAUCUCCGUUGAUAUGGACGACGACCCACUACCAAUCGCAACGACACAAGGCUGUAGAUCGGCAGCCGGUCGCUAAUAGGCUAUCAGAACUAGCAAGCAGUGUUCCAUCUCACAUUUUCGGCAUCUUCGUGGUUCCUUCUCCAAGUUUGCCUCCCAGGCAUCAAAUCGACGGGGCCAAUCCCCUGGUGAGAAGGCUUUGGAUUGCCGGGACCGCGUUCGCUUGCACCUUAGUUGGAUCUAUGUUUGCUUGCUAG
RNAcentral lists this ribosomal RNA (348 nucleotides) under Triticum aestivum (bread wheat). Its description in RNAcentral is "partial small subunit ribosomal RNA". Lineage: Eukaryota; Viridiplantae; Streptophyta; Magnoliopsida; Poales; Poaceae. The record is from RNAcentral.